UAUUUGCAAUCGAAACACGCAUACAAUACUUGUACGAAGAUGAGCCCAGAGAAUACAACAAUCUAGAUGAAAAUAUUACAGAGGUCCCAGUUUAAUUAUUACAAACCGAGUUCAAAUCAUAAAGAAGUUCAGAGUUCAAAAGCAGCGGAAAAAAACGGUAGGCAAACAACGAUACAUGAUAUCAUGGUGAAGCCAUCCAUGACAUCACUCACCAUGGUCCUCGCCCACCGAGGACGAGUCCCACUCAACCGUCCAUCCUGGAGGGAGCUGCUAUGGCCAAGUCACACUAGCAACCACAUCAUCAAUGUCAUUACCUGAAAAUAUAGGCACAAGCAAGGCUGAGUAUACUAAUACUCUACAAGACAUACCCGUUAGGUGGUAUCUAAUCCACCGACUCCUAGACAUGCAAGGCUUUUUGGCUGAGGGGUUUGUUUUUCCUCAAAGCUUCUAAAGUGGGUCAUUGCUUUCAAGUUUUAGCAUCAAAUUCUAAUUAAUUAACCAAUCUAGGUAAGCACCUAUUCUAAGCAAGCAUGGUAGAACAAGCAAUUUAAUCAAGCCUUAAUAUUAAGCAUCAUCAUUGUUCAUCUUCUUACUCAGUGCAGCAUAGCGAUCAAGCAGUCUCAAUAUCUGCGAGAAAUAGACGAUUCGAAUCGAAUUUCUUAACCUUGCAAGGUGGACCUAAACACAUGACAUGUGCGUACCGCGACGGGUUCACACAUUAUCAACGGUUCCCAUCGAUCCCCAGCGCAGGUCCAGAGCCCACUUCCCUUGGAUACAAGGCCCCGUCGGUCCCGGAACGACGUCGUGCUAUGGCCGUACUUAUACCCACAUGAUGCACCAAGGGAAACCAUUUCUAGAGAGAGUGGGGUAAAGGUUCACGUCCCGGUUCAAUUAGGUACUAGGCUUCCUGAUUACCAUCUUCUCAGUAUGUGUUUAGUACGUUCAAAGACAUGACCACGAACACCGACACGGUUCGACCUUAGCAAUUUCCUCUACACAGACGGGGCAUCAACCAUUUCAGGAACAUCGCACAAAGCCCCGCCCAUCAUCCUUAUGAUUCCAACAUAAGUAAACAGGAAACUCUUAUAGUUGGCGAGUGAUAGGAAAUCACACGACUUUUACCAUGUCCUUAUUUAGCCUAGCAUUAGAAUCAAUUUUAAUACGGAGAUAUAAAAUAAACAAAAUAAACUACCAUUAAGCACAUUAAAUCCAAAAGGCUUGUAAAACAACCAGAAAAGUAUCAACAUCAUUUUUUCUAGAUUUUAUGCGGAAAACAAUGGCUAAUAGAAGUGAUUUCAACAUUUUAUCAAUUUUCCACUAUUUAUCAUGCAAAUAACAAAAUUAAGACAACAAACAAGCAUUAUAUUUAAAACAGCAUGAAAAACAAAGAUUCCACAAACACAAGUUGCAUGUCUGAAACAUAAAUGAUAAAUGGAAGCUAACAUAAUUAGUUUCACCAUUUUGGACCACCAUAUGAUUUAUAAAGCAUUUAUUGACUUUUAGACAAAAUAAAUAAUACAGAAUAGUAACAUGCACUCAAACAUUUUUGAAAUAAACUAGAUAUGAUUAGGAACUCAACAAAAGAAUAUUCACAUAUUUAUCAUUUUUCUACAAUUUUCUAGGUAUUUUCCAAUUUCGCAGCAAUUUAAAUCUAGGAAAUAAAUCAAAACCGAGGUCAACUUGCCAAACAAACCUCAAAUCUAAAGAUUCUCGCAUAUAGGACCCUAAAAUUUCCCAUAACCCCCCUCUCUUUCUUCUUCUUCUCCCACACAGCACACACAUCCACACAUAGAUAGGCACGGGCGGCGCGGCCGGCUCUACCCAACUAACGAGCUUGCAGGCGUGGGAGAGAGGAGGAAGGAACCACUAACAAGUGGGCCCAGCAAAUUUUAAACUGUUCAACUUUCCCGACUCAAACGACCUAGCUACAGGCACCUAAAAAUCUCCCAAAAAUACUCAUUUGAAAGAUAAAGUCACAAAGAACACAAUGCCACAGGAAUCAUUUGAAGAACUUCUCAAGUUUUCACACAAUUGUCAAAAGAAAAUAGCCAAAACUAAAAUUUAAAGGAAUUUUAACACAAGGAAAAAUCAUUGAAAAAUUAAGUAAAAAUAUUAUAAAGUUAUCAAAUUGCAUCUAGUAUUUAAAUAAAAUAAUAGGAGGCACAUUUGCAUAGCAAAAAUUGGAGUUGCUUCACAAGUUUGAAUUUUAACAAUAAACAACAAUUAUAUGAACUUAAACAAUGCAUGGCCAAGAUGCUUAAUUAUUCACAAAUGACGCUCAUGAUACUCAAUUAUGCACAAAUGAAGCUCAUGAUUCUCAAUUAUGCACAAAUGAUGCUCGUGAUGCGCGGCGUGCAAAGGUGCCAUCUUCAACGCGAAUUUUCUCACAAAUUUGAACUACGCGUUUGAAUUUCCAAAAAUAAAAGUUGGAGUUCAAAGUAUAUGCUAUAACUUUUAUAAAAGCCGACAUAUGAAAAACUUGAUGGAUUUGGAGAUAAACUUGGGAGAAGUUUGGUGGAACGUCGGCCAAAACUGGAUUUGAAAAUAAUUUGAUUUUCAGCCAAAUUUCUACUCAAUUUUUGAACACAUUCCACUCAAAAUCAAGAAAAGUGCAAAUUAUGAAAGUUGCUCUAUUUGAAAAGAUCUAUCCUUUUUAUAUUGGCCAAAAUUUGAGUUCUUAUAUAAAAUUUGUUUUUAUUUGCUUCCCAAGUGCAACACUACAAAGGUGUUUAAUCUCAAUUUCUCUUGAUUUAAUCUCAAUUUCUCUUGAUUUGGCUCCUAAUUACUUGGGAUGUCACAAAAUGAAGGCUAAUUUGCGAGAUGAAUCUAUUAAAUCUAUUCAGUCCAUGAUUUGACCAUGUGGUGUUACAGUAAAUAUGUGCUAAUCAUGGAUUAAUUAGGCUUAAUAGAUUCGUCUCACGAAUUAGCCACAGCUUAUACAAUUAUUUUUAUAAUUAGUUCACGCUUAGUCCUUCUAGUUGGUAUCCAAACAUUCGAUAUGACCCAAACUAAAAAUUAGUCCAUGGAUCCAAACACCCCCUUAGUUUGUGUUGCGCUUACCCGACCUGAUCCUGUUGAUUGAGCAGAGCCGCGAGUCUUAAUUCCUCUAUCCAACACCACUCCUUGGAAGCACUGAGCAACAACGGCCCAAGCUCCGUCCAUCCGCCGAGGCUGACCAACCGCCUGCUGCCCUUGACUAGGAGUCGGACUCCUCCUUUGAUGGCUCCUGUUGGAUGGCGGAUGCGCCAGACCAUGCAGAAGGUGAUAGAGUCCAAGGCGUCGGAGGCGGAGAAGAAGAAGCAGAACAAGAAGGUGGCCGCAAGGACCGAGGCCCCGACUACAGCAUUUGCCUCCGCGAUUAAGGCCUCGUCUAGGCUGGUGAGCGACGACUCCGACUCUUCUAGCCCUGCCGUGAAAAAGAAGAAGGCUGGGCUCCUUAAGACAAUAGCCGCCGACAUGGAAAAGGUCAUGGAGCGAUGGAAGACGGAAAUCCGCAGAGGAAAGCAGAAGGAGCCGACCCUACCACCGACAGUGCCUCUCCGCCCAAAGUUUCGAGUGAAGAAGAGCAUGAUGUGAGUGUCUUCAAAAUGUCGUUUGUUGUUGAAAGCUUGUUUGUAUGCUGCAUUGCUUUAUCUUUGUGUCCUGCCAUCUGAGCAGGAAGGCUGUGAUGGAGGACGAGCCAAACCCGCAGGAUGCUGGCAUUGAGACCCAUGCAGAGGGUCGGACAUCUGAUGCACCCUAGGGGUUGCAUUAGCAUUUGCUACUUAGGCCAGCGGUGAAAGUGGCCUAGUGAUGGAGCUUGAGAGGCCCAAGCAGCAGUCACACCUACUCCAAGACGUUGCUGAAGAUGCUGUAGUUGCCGUGCCCGGUGACACGGAUGCCAACGUUGAGGUCCAGAUGGAGGAAGACCCUAGGGAGGCACCAACGAAGAAGACGAUCCUUCCACACUGGACUUCUUCGGGAUGGUUCUGGCGUAGGAGGCUGCUGAGGAUAGGAGAGACCUUGCCGAGCUGAAGCACGCUUUCGGCAAGGUCGCGGAGUUGUUAUAUGUAAGUUAGCCAACCUGAUUUGAUGUUGAUCAUUGUUUCGGGUUUCCUUCUCUGAUUAGUUGGGAUUAUUCUUGCCCGGAACCUGGCCGAGCACGCGCACAAUAGGGGGAUGCCAUCUAUUGCGCCGAGGAGUAUCGACUCAAGGCUGAGCUAAGGAAGGCCAAGGAGGAAUGCCGCAAAGCAGAUAUGACAAAAAGAUCAGGAGAUUGCGGACCAAAAAUAGAUAACCAAGGAUGUCCAGAGCGACCUCGACACCAUGUUGAAUGGUAACGGCUUCGAUCCUUGUUAUGAGUCCAGAUCCUCUAGAUGCAACUAGUGCCUAUUCUUGAAUCUUAUUGCUUUGCAGAUGCCCAGAAGAAAGAAGAGAGCCUUAAGAGAGACCUCAAAGAGUGCAAAGCAGCCAGCUCCCAACUCCAGCAAGAUCAUGUUAUUGCCGUGCACCGUGAGUAUGACGUGUCACAAAAUCUUGCCUAUGAAGCCGACUUGUUACUAUUAGUUGUUUGAUUCCGAGGAAGAUCUCGAGACGAAGACCGUGUAGCAAUGCUUCAUACUCGGCUUCGUUGUUUGAGACUUCCCAAAAGAUUUGAAGUACGUAUUUGAGUUGGUCUCCUUUUGGAGAAAUUAAGAGUACUCCUGCGCCAGCUCCUUCGAGCUUGAGGGAACCAUCGAAGUACAUAACCCAGUGCUCUGGCCUCUCGACUGGUGUUGGUACUUGGUUUUCUGUCCAUUCAGCCAUGAAGUCGACCAAAGCCUGAGAUUUGAUAGCUAUUCUUGGUUUAAAGAGCUCCAAGCUCUACUGCCCAUUUGGAAAUUCUACCCGUGGCAUCUCUGUUGUGAAGGAUUUUGCCGAGCGGGAAGUCGGUGAUGAUUGAAAUGCUGUGUUCUUGAAAAUAAUAUCGCAGGUUCCGUGAGGUGAGCAGAAUUGCGUAGAACAACUUUUGGAUUGGCGGGUACCGAGUUUUGGAGUCUGAUAGUACUUCGCUGAUGAAGUAAACGGGUCUCUGAACUUUGUAAACGUGGCCUGGUUCAGACCGUUCAACUACUACUGCAGUGCUGAUGACGUGAGUAGUAGCCGCUAUGUAUAGGAGCAAGUCCUCAUUUGGGCAUGGAGCGGUGAGGAUUGGUGGUUUUGACAGAAAGUCUUUGAGUUGUGUCAAUGCUUUGUCUGCCUCUUCUGUCCAUUUAAACUUGUCCUGUCUUUUGAGAAGCUUGAAGAAGGGUAGUCCUCGUUCUCCAAGUCUCAAGAUGAAUCGAUUAAGGGCUGCCAUGCAGCCUGUGAUUUUCUGCACAUCCUUGAUGCUAGCUGGUGCUUACAUAUUUAUGAUGGCAGAUAUUUUCUCUAGGUUGGCCUCAAUGCCGUGAUGGCUAAUGAUGAACCCGAGUAGUUUGCCGGAAGGUACGCCAAGAACGCAUUUGGUAGGGUUAAGUUUCCAGCGGAAAGCUCAUAGGUUUAAGAAGGUUUCCUCCAAAUAGAUGAUUAGGUCCUCCUGUUUUCUUGUUUUGACGACUACGUCGUCCACGUAAGCUUCUAUGUUGCAGUGCAAUUAUUUCUCGAAGCACAUCUAUAUAGCGCGCUGGUAUGUUGCACCCGUGUUUUUUAAUCCAAAUGACAUUGUUUCGUAGCAAAAAGCCCCAAAUGGAGUGAUGAAGGCUGUUUUGGCUUGAUCUUCUUCUUUGAGGCUUAUCUGGUGGUAACCUGAGUAACAGUCAAGAAAGCAUAGUAAAUCGCACCUGGCAGUAGAGUCGACUACCUGGUCGAUCCUGGGUAGUCCAAAAGGGUCCUUUGGACAAUGUUUGUUGAGAUCCGUGUAAUCGACGCACAUUCUCCAUUCAUUGUUUUUCUUGCGAAUGAGUACAGGGUUGGCUAGCCAAUCAGGGUGAAAAACUUCUUUGAUGAACCCUGCUGCGAGUAGUUUGGCUAGCUCUUUUUUUAUUGCUUCUCAUUUGUCUUGGGCGAACCUUCGAAGGUGCUGUCAUUUUGGGGUAGCUCUAGGAUCAACAUUUAGAGAAUGCUCAAUCAGUUCCUUGGGCACACCAGGCAUGUCGGCUGGCUUCCAGGCAAAGAUAUUGUGGUUAGCCCGAAGAAAACUUAUGAGCGCGGUUUCCUAUUUAGGAUCUAGUCUUGUCCCAAUUAGAGCUGUCUUAGAAGGGUCACCAUUCUGGAGAUCAACCAUUUUGAAGUUUGUCUCAUUUGUUGGCUUUACUUUUGCUGGCCCCGACUUGUUUUCUGGGAUUUCAAGUUCUAUUGGAUAAAGUUUCUUUGAAACUAAAAAAACUUGUUGCAUAGGGCUAGGUCCUUAAGAAGUUGCUGCAAUUUCCACGGCUUCGGUGUCGCAUUCAUAAGAUCACCUUAGGUCUCCUCGUAGUGUUAAUUCUCCCUUGGGUCCUGGCAUCUUGAGUACCAAGUAAACAUAAUGUGGUACAGCCAUGAAUUUAGCCAAAGUUGGUCUCCCGAGUAUGGCAUGGUAAGAGGUCUCGAAGUCGACGACUUCAAAUCUGAUGUACUCGGUUUGGUAAUGUUCCUUGGUGCCGAAAGUUACUGGUAGGAUGACUUGUCCUAGCGGUAUGACUGCGUUUCCUGCUACAAUCCCGUAAAAGGGGGAGUCUAUUGGAGUGAGCAUGUCUGUGAUGUCAAGACACAUCUUUCUUAGUGUUUUGGCAAAAAUGACGUUGAGUCUGCUUCCGCCAUCAAUAAGUACUUUUGUUAGUCUUGAUCCUGCAACAACAAGGUCGAGUACUAGGGGAAAUCGGCCUGGUUCUGAGAAGUUUGUCCAUUGGUCCCUUCUGCUGAAGGUUAUGGGUACCGGAGACUAUUUUAGCGUUGUUGGAUCUGUUGAUUUGAUGGCCAUAAUCUCUCUGAGUACCAAUUUGCUAGAUCGCUUGGAUGCGGAACCUGGGAUUCUGCCAAAAAUUGCGUUGACUAUUUUGGAGGCGGUCUGGAAGUCUCCUUCUCCUUCUUCAUCCUUAUGGAUUUUGUUUUUGCCCUUAUCCUUUUUCUGGUUGUACUCUUCGGGAGGUGGUGGUGCAGGUAAAUCUUGCAUUACUCGGCGCAUGUUAUAGCAGUCUAUUGCUGAGUGUUUGCUAUUUGGGUGCCAUGGGCAUUAUUUUUUGAGUAGUUCGGUGAAGCUUGGUCCAUCAUCGUGUUUGUGGGAUCCCUUCUUUCCUGAGUUGGUCAUGGAAGCAACGGUGUUGUUAGGUUUGCGUUUGCAAUUUUGGUUACUCGAAUAGUUCUUUCGAGUAUCAUUGUUUCGGCCAAAUCGCUUGCAUUCUUUAUCUUCUUCAUCUGCCCAUUGUUGCACGAUGAUUUUGAGGUCUUUGACGGUGACUGGUCAUCGUCUGCCAAAAUCCUGGUAUGUUCGACGAUCAUAGAGGCCAUUUUAAAAGCUCUCGAUAACGUCUAUUUCUGAAAUGUCGACUAUAGUGGCCUUCUUUUCAAAGAAUCGCCAUAGGUAGUCGCGCAGUGUUUCGCCUUCCUUUUGUUUUACUUGACUUAGGUUGAUCUUGUUGCCUGGUCUAGUCAUGGAGCCCAUGUAGUUGUUGGUGAAGGCUUUUGUCAGAUCUUCCCAAGAGUCAAUUGUUUUAGGUUUGAGUGAUUCAAGCCAUGUUAGGCGCGUGGGUUCCAUGCAUAUGGGAAAAUGGAUGACUUUUGUGUCAUUAUUGCCUCCGGCUGCUUGGACUACCAACGAGUAGCAUCGGAGCCAUUGAAUUGGGUCUUGCUUGCCAUCAUACUUGGUGAUUCCUGUUGGCUUGAAUUUUUCGGGUAGUCUUGUUCUCAUUACCCGUGUUGUGAAGGCGUGAAAAUGGUUGUAGUUGUCGAUUUCACGUUCGCGGUGACUAUUGAUUAUUUCCCAUAGAUCGCUGAAAUUUGAUACUUCAUGAUUUUUCCUGAUAUGGCGAGGACUUUUUGCGGCAUUAGUGCAGCUGGCCUCUCCAACAUCCUUUGUCGUACUGGGGCUUCGCAUUUGCUCAGUCCUUGGCUAUGUUGCCUUGGUUGGUUGACCACCUCGUUGUUGUUUCGUUGUGCUUCGUGGAAGCCAUUGUUGACUGCGGCACCCCUACUGCCCUCUCGAUGGGCUGAGUUGCGAGGAACAUAUGGGAUUGGUGAUUCUUUAUCGAGUAGCUUGUAAGCUUGUUCUGCGAGUUGUGCAAUUAGUCCAUUGCCUCGCUGCGCAAGUUGAGCUGUUAUUUCGUUAUCUCUGUCUUGAGGUAUGAGAAUUAAUAUAAGGUUGAUUGAGGCAAUUGCUGGGAGUGGGGUGUUGUGCUCUUGAGCUUAUACUGCGUCAAAUGCUCUUUCAAGGUUUGUGAUGGGAAUGUUUGUGGCUAGCAACUGUCGACGUUUAGCUCGAGUAAUGUUUCGUAUCCUUCUUUGGUUUCAUUGAUCGGAAGUUUCGUCCUGCGAAGCGUUAGCCGAUGACUCAUCCUCUGAAACGUUAUAGAGCUGCGCUAUCCGUCAAGGGGUUCUCUGUUGGCUAGUGCCCACAUUAUUAUUUUGAGUGAUGACAAAGAAUUCUCUAUCUCGGUAGUAGCUUCUGGAGCUUGAUGUUGCAAUUUCUGUAGUGCUCUCCUCGCGGCUUGAAGUGAGCAGGAUGCCUUCUUCGUACGGGAGGUUGUCUAUGUGAGCGACAAGGCACGACUCGUAGUCGCGGGUAAGGAGAGAUGGCCUCAUUCUUGGCCAGUGAACGAAUCUGCCCUGCGGCGUUGAAGUUACUACCAAACCUUAGGCUGGCCCUGAUAAUGGAAUUUCUUGGACGUAGUCCGAGUUGGAGUCACAGUCCUUGUCUUCCCCGUGUUCGAGUUGAGUUCGAGUGAGGAGACAUUGGUAGACUUCGGCUGUAUUGCGGAGUCCGUAUGGGAAUCGUUUUUGAGUUGAAGUUGACUUGUGAAGUGACUGGGGCUUCGGCUUGUGUCGACUAAUCCGAGCUGGGGUCGAGUCCGAAGCGUAGUCGAACUCGGUGUCGCUGACUUUGAAAAUUUGGCUUUUCUUGAAAAAAUCCCCCGUUUUUUGCUGAGGAAAGCUUCCGUCGAGAGGUUUCUUCUCCUGGAUGUGAAACGAUCCAGCGCCGUCGGCGAUGCAGAGCCAAGAUCCGAAAACAAAAGUUGCGCCUGCCUCGAAGGUGAAAACAGGCUUGAUAAUGACAGAUGCCAUCAAACUCGCGCGGAGAAACUCGGCGACUGCCCCUACCUAGCACGCCAGCUGUCGGUGUUUUAGACCAGCAACCCACCUAGGGGGUACCCUAGGUGGUCUUUUGUGCGGUGGGUGUAUUCGAGAAUCAAGGAGUCAAUGGUGACGCAAGGAACACGAUUUAGACAGGUUCGGGCCGCUAGAUGGCGUAAUACCCUACGUCCUGUGUGUUAAUUGUAUUGAACUUAGAUGAGUUGUCUUUGAGGGGGUCGUUGCCCGCCCUUAUAUGAUCGGGGGAGCAGGGUUACAGGCUAGAAUCCUAGUCGGAUACAGUUAUAGAAUUCCACUCGGUGUAUACAGAGUAGUUUCCAUAUGUAUGUUGACUAGUCUUUGGGAGUCCGAGUGGGCUAUGUUCCUUUGCCGCGUAGCCCCCGAGCCUUGAUUACGUCCGAGUAUGCCCCUUAGUGGGCCGCACAGGGCCUACUCGUGGGCCUGGGAUGUAUGCCCGACAGUUACCCAUGCUACUGGUCCUCGUAACGCUGGCUCACGGUCCGAGUCCGCGCCUAUUGCCGCACGCUCGCGGACACCACCCUCGGUGUUGCUAAAGGAAGAUACACUUGCGCUCUUUAGCUGCACCAUCUGCCAUCGCAGUCGGCUCAUCGUCCUGCUAAACUUGUUGGCAAGAAGCUGCUGAUUUGUAUAUUCAGGCGCCUUUGCUGACGCUUCGGACCCGUGUCCUCCUCCACGGCUUCGAUCAUGUCCACCUCGACCUCGGCUACUUUGGCACUAAGGGGCUACCAUCUGCUUGACAAGCCUCUUCGGCUCCCAUUCCAGCCACAACAUCUACGGCGCAUCGACGGUUGCGACUGCGGGGGGAUGUCAUCUCUUUGGCUUAUUCUUCAGUCUCAUCGUCUGCGCGUUUCCAUUGUGACUGCGGGGCAAUGUUAGAGUAUAUUAGGCAACUCCGGAUAUGGUUAGUUUAGGAUUGAUUGUAAUCCCAUGAUAACCUUCCUUAUCUCUAGGAGAUGCUACAUGCCCUCCAAGCCAUGUACUCCUAUAUAAUCAGCCCAAGGAGCUCAAGCAAUACAUCCCACGCAUUAUACACGAUCUUACAUGUAUUGAAAUUGGUAUUGUAGAGUAAUUAGCACAAUAAUAAUAUAAGGGUGAUAUGCAUAUGUGCUUAAGUGUUACUGAAAUGCUCGCGGUAGGGUGUUUGGAUGUGCUUGUAGUAGCAUACUAUUUGGAUAUAUUCAUGGUAGAGAGAAUGUUUGGAUGUGCUUGUAGUAGCAUAUCAUUUAGAUAUACUCAUGGUAGCGUACAUGAUUUUGAGAUGGAUACUAGAAAUAGCAAAGCCACGCCUUUUGGGGAUUGGGCUUUGGAAGAACUUUUGCUUGCCUUGUCAAAAAUUCAUAAUUCAAACUUUGAUAAACCUGAAUGACCUAGCUAGAGAAAUGGAACGCUUCUGGUUCGUGUGCCUGAAAAAAGAAAACAUAUCCUCCUGCGUUGCAAGAUUAUAACAUCGAGACCGUGGACUUGAUCUGAAUUUUUCAUGCUAUGUAGAUGGUUAUUCACUUAGAUGUAUUGUAAAAUAGCAUGUUUUUGGCAUAUUCAGACAUAUGAGCACUGUGUAUUGUAAGAAUCCAAGGGAAACAGAUUUACACACCAAUUGAUGUGCAUUAAAUAGACGUAGAAGCCAGCUUUUCUUCUGUUGCCAUAUUUUUUUUUGUUUUGAUAAAAGACUUCAUUCAAGCUUAAAAGCAAUGUACAUGGAGAAAGGUCAGAUGACCCCAAGUUACAGAUUGGAUCGCUGCAAGAACAGCACACAUUCAGUGAAGAUUGGUACACACAGAAUCUAAGUGGCCAAUCAGAAGAAAGACUUCUAGCUGAAACUGCUAAUUGAUGAGCUGCCUCAUUCUGAACUCUAGAGAUUUUAGAGCAACUCCAAGAGUUUCUCUAAAUUUUUUUCCUCAAAAUUAUGUAUUGGGAGCUUUUCUAAUUUUUUUCCCUAAAAUCAUGUUAUCCCACCGCAGAUCUCCAACAAUAACCUUCCUAAUAUUUCAAAACAGGCCACGUCAGCACGAUUGGGCCCAUCAGGGCUGGCCUCACCUUCCACCUCACGAUCUGUUUCUCCUGUCGCCCCUUCUAGCGCCGCCACCACUCAUCCACCCUUCCAUCCCUGCAAAUUUGCUGCUGCGUUCUACAAUCAUAAUUGGAGAUAGGUAAAAUGGAUUCGUUAUGAGUCGAUAAAGCUUUUCCAUUAAACGGGUGCUGAAUUUAUCAUCAGAUAAUGAUGAUAAUGACGGAUUCUUCUUCUCCGUUGUGGGAAAGGAGUACAUGGGGGAGCGAUUGGGGAAGAGCGGAGUCACGGAAAUUUGCGGGGCGUCGGAGGAGUUAUUCGCGUCGCUGAAUUUUUGCGGGGAGCACAGGGGAGCUAUUGGAGGCUCAAUUUUAAUGUUUUUCUCCCUAAUUAAGGUCUUGGGAAUAAUAAAAGGGAGCUUUUUGGAGUUGCUCUUGAUCACUUGCAAAGCAUCCAGUAAGGCAAGUUCCUGAAAAUGAGAGAUCCAUGGACGAAGUUUCAAUGGAGAAUCUAAAGGCGACUUGUGCAGAUGUGUGAUUGCCUUGUUCUUCUGUUGCCAUAUUGGUCUUGGUCACACACUGAACCACCAACGUUGCUGGGAAGAUGAUAUCUAUUCACGGGGGAAUGCAAAUGAGGGGAAAAAAAAAGAGGGUCAACGAUAUUAAAAUCUCGACCGGUGAGGGAAAGACUGCCUCCAUACGGUUACAUAAGAAGGACUUAACCGUAGCCCAUCCGACAAAGGUCACGAAAGCUGACCCCCCUCAUACAUGGAGAUGCCACCCCCUGUGGUUUGGGCCUUUACCCGUGCUUUGAGGCCCAACCUACGACCAUCCCCUUACACGUGGCUCGCCCACCACUACUAGAAAAAAGACCUUUCUUCCACUCCCUUAGUACCGAUCACAUUUUGACCCGGUACUAAUGUUAGCAUUAGUAUCGGGUCUAAAUUUAGGACCCCCGAAGGUCUUUUAGUACCAGGUCGUAACACCACCCGGUACUAAAGUGGUACUAAAAGGUAUAAAACUUUUGGUACCGGG
Molecule: long non-coding RNA, 12282 nt
Filed under: Setaria viridis
Lineage: Eukaryota; Viridiplantae; Streptophyta; Magnoliopsida; Poales; Poaceae
Description: long non-coding RNA (SVIR_LNC003962)
Source: RNAcentral